Long non-coding RNA from Agelaius phoeniceus (red-winged blackbird), 812 nucleotides. RefSeq lists it as uncharacterized. The record is from RefSeq and is a predicted model, not a curated record. Lineage: Eukaryota; Metazoa; Chordata; Aves; Passeriformes; Icteridae.
GAAGAGCCGCUGGCGCCUGCGCGGUGGGGCCGCGGCCCUGCAUCCCCCUUCAGCCGAGGAGAUGGAGGCGGCGGCGCGGCGGCGGCCGCGGGAGCCGGAACGGCAGGAGCGGGAGCCCGGCGAUGGUGGGCGGGUGAUGUCACCGUCCCUAUCGGGACAGUCCUACUGGCUGGACCUUUGGCUCUUCAUCCUCUUCGACCUGGCGCUUUUCCUGCUCAUCUACCUGCUGCCCUGAGGGCGCGGCCCAGGGCCAUUGCCACCGAAGGAAUUCUCACCUAUUUCGUACCUUAUGAACACCGGCGGUGGAAGAGGAGGACCAUUUGUGCGGGAUAAGCAACCGGGAACACGGCUCCACUUGAGCGUGGGUGAAGGAGGCACAUUUCUGUACUGUACCGUGAUGGAUCUGGGUGUGUCACAAGUGUUACUGUUGGGUUUUGCUCGUGUGUCCUGAGCUGUGCCUUAGAGAUCCCGUACGACAGACUGACUGUCCUUUGUGAUUAGUGCCUAAAGGUUUGUUGGGCAAACAUGGAAGCGUGCACUGUGUGAAUAAAAUCCACUGAAAGGACACCCUGCAGAGUGGCUGAGAAUAAAACCCAGCUCUUCUGUACACUGAAGUUGUAGCUCCGACCCGUUCCCUCAACAGAUGAAGCUUGGCCAGCUGUUCUGCUUCCAAAAAUUAAUCCUGAUGGGUUGAUGCUGGUUGGUUUUCUAUAAUACAUCUCUCUGUUUUUUCUUUCUUUACUGAGCCCUCUCAGGCUCAGUGUUUAUAGGUAUAAAUAUUUACAUAUAUAAACAUGUCAGUGUUUAACCCA